Long non-coding RNA from Hypanus sabinus (Atlantic stingray), 2359 nucleotides. RefSeq lists it as uncharacterized. The transcript is spliced from 3 exons. The record is from RefSeq and is a predicted model, not a curated record. Lineage: Eukaryota; Metazoa; Chordata; Chondrichthyes; Myliobatiformes; Dasyatidae.
CGGGGAGCUUGACCCGUCCGGGCGGUCGCACUGAAAUGUUCGUGUAGCGCCCGGACUUUGAAGCGGGGGGCUCGGAGCGUGAGGGAUGUAGGGCGAAGGGUAUUGUCUGUAUCAACGUGCCCGUGUUGCUGCUGAGGGAAGUACUUUUUUAAUGAGGGGAAUGGACCGUAUGGUGGACCAGUACCGAUUGAAGGCCACAUUUCCCUAUCUGGAUAACAUCACCAUCUGUGGUCGCGACUGGCCGGAUCACAACGCCAACCUCCAACGAUUUCUCCAAGUGGCCGAAGCUCGGAGCCUUACUUAUAACAGGGACAAGUGUGUGUUCGGAACCACCUGACUCACCAUCCUUGGGUAUGUCGUGGAAAACAGGGUCAUUGGCCCUGAUCCCGACCGUAUGCGCCCCCUGUUAGAGCUCCCUCUUCCCACCACUCUCAAAGCCCUCAGACGGUGCCUGGGUUUUUUUUCCUAUUACGCCCAAUGGGUCCCCCAUUACACAGACAAGGCCCGCCCCCUGGUCAAGUCUACCACUUUUCCCCUCUCAGCUGAGGCCUGCGCGGCCUUCAGCUGCAUUAAAGGGGACAUGGCCAAAGCAACGAUGCAUGCGAUGGACGAGACCAUUCCCUUCCAAGUAGAGAGUGACGCCUCCAAUUGCGCACUGGCUGCUACCCUCAAUUAGACAGGCAGGCCAGUAGCAUUCUUUUCUCGUACCCUCCAAGGCUCUGAAAUUCGGCACUCCGCAGUGGAGAAAGAAGCCCAGGCCAUAGUGGAAGCUAUUAGGCACUGGAGGCACUAUCUCGCUGGCAAAAGGUUCACCUUGCUGACCAACCAGCACUUAGUUGCGUUCAUGUUCAGCAAACAACAGUGGGGCAAAAUCAAAAAUGAUAAGAUUUUGCGGUGGAGAAUAGAACUCUCCACCUACAACUUUGAUAUCCUGUACCGGCCUGGCAGACUCAAUGAGCCCCCUGAUGCCCUAUCCCGGGGAACAUGUGCUAGCACACAGCUGGACCAGCUAUACGCCCUUCAUGCACAACUUUGCCAUCCGGGGGUCACCCGAUUUUAUCAUUUUACCGUACUCCCUGGAGGACAUCAGGACGAUGACCAGGGACAGCCACAUCUGCGCUGAGUGCAAACCGCACUUCUACCGUACUGAAACGGCGCAACGUGUCAAGGCCACCCGCCCUUUUGAGUGACUGAGUGUUGACUUUAAGGGCCCCCUUCCCUCCACCGAUCGCAAUGUCUAUUUUCUCAAUAUUAUUGACGAGUACUCGCGGUUCCCCUUUGCCAUUCCCUGCCCCGACACCACUACCACGUCCGUCAUAAAAGCCCUGCGCCAGCUCUUCACUCUGUUCGGAUAUCCCUGCUAUAUCCACAGUGAUAGAGGGUCCUCCUUUAUGAGUGACGAGCUGCACCAGUACCUGCUGGGUAGGGGCAUUGCUACUAGUCGGACCACGAGUUAUAAUCCCCGGGGAAAUGGACAGGUGGAGAGGGAGAAUGCCACAGUGUGGAAGGCCACACUUUUAGCCCUUAAGUCAAAAGGGUUGCCGGUCUCUCGAUGGCAGGAGGUCUUCCCUGAGGCACUCCACUCUAUCCGCUCUCUGUUAUGUACGUCCACCAAUGCCACCCCUCAUGAACGCCUAUUCUCCUUUCCCAGGAAGUCUGUCACUGGGACCAUCCUACCAGUUUGGUUGACGUCCCCAGGGCCAGUGCUGCUCCGGAGACAUGUGAGGAGUACUAAAUACUCCCCGCUGGUCGAGAGGGUUCACCUUCUACAUGCGAACCCCCAGUAUGCCUACGUGGUCUUACCUGAUGGGCGGGAGGACACGGUCUCCGUCCGCGACCUGGCGCCCGCAGGUGCCGCAGACCACUACCCUGAACACUCUCCGGUAACUAUGAACCCUGUACCCGAGGUGACACCACGCACACCAGGCCCUACACAGACUCCUCACGACACUCAUAUACCGGGCGUUUCAUACGCAUAUAUACCAGGCGCCUCGCACAUGCGUGAGGGAUCACUGAUGCCUAGUGGGCUGACACCUCCAGUUAGGCUGGAACCAGCACAACCUCCGUCUCCUGUGCAAUCACCACCACCAGCAUCUGUGCAAUCACAGCCAGUGCUACGUAGAUCGCAGCGACAGAUUCGACCACCUGAUAGACUUAACCUGUCAGAAACUUCGCCACAUGGGGACUCUUUUUAAAACAAAGGGUGGGUGUUGAAUGUGGUGAACUACAUAUACCUGUCUGGACACGCCCCCUGCUGACUGCUCCUGUGGCUCCUCCCACAGAUCCCUGUAUAAAGGCGAUCAAGGCCUGAGCCCGGCCUCUCAGUCUCCAGGAUGUAGUAUGGUGGUCACUCACUGUU